RNAcentral lists this long non-coding RNA (3380 nucleotides) under Sus scrofa (pig). RNAcentral describes it as "lncRNA (ENSSSCG00060076899.1)". Lineage: Eukaryota; Metazoa; Chordata; Mammalia; Artiodactyla; Suidae. The record is from RNAcentral.
CCAGCAGCAGCCAAGGAAUCGAUAGCCUUUAAAUAAGUAAUUAGGGGAGCCGAAGACGUCGGCACAUCCAGGAGUGAGCAGGGGAACAUAAAUUCAUGACUCCCAGGCUCACUGGGCAAGGGCCUGGUUCUGUUUCUCGGUCAAGAAAUGUGACAGCGCCUGGGGGCAAUGAUGGUGGAGGAACAGGGAGCCAGUGUUGUAGAGUCUGUUUUCACUUUCCUGUCCUCUGUUUCUGGUGGCUUUUAGGAUAAGGAUCAAAAUCUUCUCCCAACCUAGAGAGGUAAAUCUGGAGCUGAAGCUGGCUCCGGUACAAUGUCAGCUUGUUUAUUCACUGGUUGUGUGACCUGAGACACACACCCUCUCUGUGCUCAGUUUCCCUAGCUGUAAAACGCCCCACCCCCACCCCCCAGCCCCCAAAUAAGGUCAUCAUGAGGUUUACAGACGUUCGUACCACAUGCAAAGCAUGCAGAGCAGUGUGGGCCGUGGUUAGCAUCCAGGGGCCUUUGUGACUAAGUCCCAACCCGAGGCUACAGCCUCACGGGUGUUACGCUCCCCAAGAAAGGGGUGAAGGGCCAUCGCAGGUGCCCGGGAAGCAAUCAUCUGCCGUUUUUCCCGUCCUCCUGCACCACCAUCACCCCCCCACCACCACCAGCCCCGCAGAAGUCGCAGAAAACAGCCAACAAGGGUGGCCGUUGAGUCCCACGGGGAUCACAAGGUUAUAAGAACAAAGGCUGCCACUUCCUCUCUCCCUGCGGUGCUGCCUGUGUGUGGACACCAUCUGAUGAGAAUGUAAUUCCUUUUAUGAUCCAGGAAGGUAUAAAAACGCAUAUAAACAACCACAUGUCAUCACUGGAGUUGGCCAUCACAUUUUUAUUGGUCUACAGCGUGUGUUUUUGUUAGCCUGACGUCUGUUAGAAACCAGGUUCUGAAACACUGUCCUCGUUUGGGUGCUGGAGACAAAUAGUAUCCAGAAGCCAUUCCCAGGCCUGGUCUCAGGGAAACAGUCCCCAGAGCAGGAGGGUGUGUGUGUGUGUGUGUGUGCAUGUGCAUGCGCGUGCACGCUUACUCCUCCCUGGAGGUUCCCUGGUCCAGGCUCAGUGGAGGAAUCGGAGGCCCAGGGCAGGGCAGUGCUCUGUCCAGGAUCAUGGGACUGCUUGGUUUAGCACCAUUUUCUGAGCAUGUCAGGGAGCCCCAGCUGCUGCCGGAGCCAGCCCCCCAGUCUCGGGGGUGCCACGGAGCUGUCCUUCUAGCUUGUGUGGCAGAGAGCAUGGUGGAUGAUGGGUGGAUGGGCCUCCCUGCUUCGUGUGGCUCCACCCUCCCCUAAAGCCUCAGAAUCUUCUGCUUCCAGCUGAAUGGGGAAAGGAUCCGGAGGCUCGCAAGGUUUUAUGGAUUUUUAUGGAGAUGUUUGGGUAGGGCCUGGAAGUGGCUCAGCCACAUCUGUCCACAUCCCUCAGCGGAUCACUAGGUCAGGGUCGAUACCAAACUGCAAGGGAGGCUAGGAAAUGUAGCCCAGCUGGGUGCCUGCGAGGAAGACAAGGCAGACUGGUCUCAGUGCCCAGCCCCGAGCUGGAAGCUGCCUGGGCAGAGAUGCUGAGAUGGAGAUGCAGGCCCAUCAGUUUGAGGUUCCCAAUAAGGGCUGGUCUAGCACAUUAUCAAUCGCUAGAAGCCCAUGACUCCUCUCUAGAGAGACCUCACCCCAGGAUAAGCCUAAGCCUCCCGGGGUCCUUGCUACCUCGUGCCAAGUGGUGUCAGCCACCCUUGUUUCUAAAGGGUUGCAGAGAAGUGGGGAGGCUGGGUUCAUUUCCUGAAAGGCCCUAUUCUCUGCCUCAGGCCAGCAGAAUUUCCUUUCAGGGGGAGGCAGGGGCCUCUCUCCCCAGGGUUACCUGUCGCCUCACACCCCCACAGGGCUGGGCUCUCAACAAAACAGCCUGGAGGGAGGACCAGCACCUCAGUUCACACACACACACACACACACACACACACACACACUCACGCAUACACACAAAUGCGCCCAUGCACACACACAUCUCAGAACCAGCUAUAGCCGACAUCUGCCGCUUUGGUUAACGAGUAUCUGUUUGGGGGAUCCCAAGGUCUGUUUGGAGGACCCCCCUCCCACCACAGACACAGACUGCAGCACGUAUUCUGCACCCCCACCAACUAGAAUGUGGACAUGGGGCCUAAAGUGUGGCCAACUGGACACGCCCUCCUGGGACUUCCACUCCAUAGGGUGACACAGAGGCCUGGCACCCAUCAGACCUUUAAAGGGCGCUGCAGCUGAAGGGCACCUCUCCAGCUGCCAGCAGGGGCCAUGGUGACCAGCUGGCAGGUGGCGGGCUCUGGCGUGGCACCUUGGCUGGGCCUUCACGCUCGGGUUCCCGUCAAGCCUGUUUCUCCAGUCCCCUGUCAACUGCCUGCGACACCUGAAGCUCUCCCAGACGCCUCUUUCAGGUGAGCCCCGCCUCCUGCAGCCUUGGCCUUGCACCUGCUCACCCACCCCCUCCCGCCAAGGAUUUCCUUGGCUGCCGGCUUCAGCCGGGCUGUCCCAGACCCCAGGCAAGUCUGACAGCUUCCGCCCUCCAGGGAAAGGCCAGGGUUCCCACCUCUUUCCUCCAGGGGAUUCUGCAGCAAAUUUCAAAUUAAGUUGCGUUUUCACACUCCUGCAGAGUUCAGCGUUCUCAGGAGGGCUGUGGUAGAACCAAGGUAAUUGGCAUUCUUAGUAAUCCCAUGUGCACCUCAAAGCAUUCUUCUGAAAAGAAGCCCACCCUCCACUUGAUGCCCAAGGGGUCCAGGACAGCAGGACCCCUCUGGAUUGUAGCCCCCAGGCUGUUGGUGCCAGGAUUCCUUACUCAACAACAUGGGCCCUUUGCCUGAUGACAGCCCCCCUGGCUUGACCCAUCCUCCCUUCACUGUUUCUUCCGGAAAAAGAUCCCUACUUUCUUUGGGGGGCCAGCUCCUCUCUCCACCCUACAGAAGUAGGUGGGCCCUGUAGGAGUUUUCACAUUGUCACAUGCCCUCACUCUCUCAGUUCAGCCAAUUCAGGAGGAGUGGGCUCCUGACCCAAACCUGGCCAAUCAGCUCCUUCUCUGUGGUGGUGGUGGUUGUUGUUUUAAACUGGAACUAGGAGUUCCCAUUGCGGCUCAGAGGAUUAAGAACUCGACAUAGUGUCUAUGAGGACACAGGUGUGAUCCCUGGCCUCACUCAGUGGGUUAAGGAUCCAGUGUUGCUGUGAGCUGCGCUGUAGGCCACAGCUGUGGCUCGGAGCUGGCAUUCCUGAGGCUGUGGCAUAGGCUGGCAGUUGUAGCUCCAAUUUGAUCCCUGGCCCAGGCACUUCCAUAUGCCACAGGUGUGGCCGUAAAAAGAAAAAAGAAAAAGAAAAA